RNAcentral lists this ribosomal RNA (450 nucleotides) under uncultured bacterium. RNAcentral describes it as "partial 16S ribosomal RNA". It matches the Rfam family "Bacterial small subunit ribosomal RNA", at positions 354 to 796 of the family's 1533-position model. The record is from RNAcentral.
GUGGGGAAUUUUGGACAAUGGGCGCAAGCCUGAUCCAGCAAUGCCGCGUGCAGGAAGAAGGCCUUCGGGUUGUAAAGCACUUUUGGCAGGGAAGAAACAGUGCGUGCUAAUACCAUGCGCGAAUGACGGUACCUGCAGAAUAAGCACCGGCUAACUACGUGCCAGCAGCCGCGGUAAUACGUAGGGUGCAAGCGUUAAUCGGAAUUACUGGGCGUAAAGCGUGCGCAGGUGGUUUUGUAAGACAGGCGUGAAAUCCCCGGGCUCAACCUGGGAAUGGCUCUUGGGACUGCAAAGCUGGAGUGCGGCAGAGGGGGAUGGAAUUCCGCGUGUAGCAGUGAAAUGCGUAGAUAUAGGAAGGAACACCAGUGGCGAAGGCGACUACCUGGACUGAUACUGACACUGAGGUGCGAAAGCGUGGGGAGCAAACAGGAUUAGAAACCCCGGUAGUCC